GGUGGAGCAUGUGGUUUAAUUCGAAGCAACGCGAAGAACCUUACCAGGUCUUGACAUCCUUUGACCACUCUAGAGAUAGAGCUUUCCCUUCGGGGACAAAGUGACAGGUGGUGCAUGGUUGUCGUCAGCUCGUGUCGUGAGAUGUUGGGUUAAGUCCCGCAACGAGCGCAACCCUUAUUACUAGUUGCCAGCAUUUAGUUGGGCACUCUAGUGAGACUGCCGGUGACAAACCGGAGGAAGGUGGGGAUGACGUCAAAUCAUCAUGCCCCUUAUGACCUGGGCUACACACGUGCUACAAUGGAUGGUACAACGAGUCGCAAGGUCGCGAGGCCAAGCUAAUCUCUUAAAGCCAUUCUCAGUUCGGAUUGUAGGCUGCAACUCGCNUACANGAAGNC
This 395-nucleotide ribosomal RNA is filed under the name Carnobacterium sp. AZTITEMP50. Its description in RNAcentral is "bacterial SSU rRNA". It matches the Rfam family "Bacterial small subunit ribosomal RNA", at positions 931 to 1327 of the family's 1533-position model. The record is from RNAcentral. Lineage: Bacteria; Bacillati; Bacillota; Bacilli; Lactobacillales; Carnobacteriaceae.